This 253-nucleotide ribosomal RNA is filed under the name uncultured bacterium. RNAcentral's name for it is "partial 16S ribosomal RNA". It matches the Rfam family "Bacterial small subunit ribosomal RNA", at positions 524 to 776 of the family's 1533-position model. The record is from RNAcentral.
AACGUAGGAGACAAACGUUAUCCGGAGUUACUGGGCGUAAAGGGCGUGCAGGCGGUUUGUUAAGUGCAGGGUGAAAGCUCCCGGCUCAACUGGGAGAGGUCCUUGCAUACUGGCAAACUCGAGGGAGGCAGAGGAAAGUGGAAUUCCCGGUGUAGUGGUGAUAUGCGUAGAUAUCGGGAGGAACACCUGUGGCGAAGGCGGCUUUCUGGGCCUUACCUGACGCUGAGACGCGAAAGCGUGGGGAGCGAACCGG